AGUCUUAUAGUCAAAUAAUGAUAUAAAAUUGCAAAUUUUAUGGUAUAAUUAAAUUAAUUAUUAAGGCUU
This 69-nucleotide transfer RNA is filed under the name Lamoria adaptella. RNAcentral's name for it is "tRNA-Cys". The record is from RNAcentral. Lineage: Eukaryota; Metazoa; Arthropoda; Insecta; Lepidoptera; Pyralidae.